AAUUAAGCAUAUCAAUAAGCGGAGGAAAAGAAACCAACAGGGAUUGCCUCAGUAACGGCGAGUGAAGCGGCAACAGCUCAAAUUUGAAAUCUGACUCUUUCAGGGUCCGAGUUGUAAUUUGCAGAGGAUGCUUCGGGUUCGGUUCCGGUCUAAGUUCCUUGGAACAGGACGUCAUAGAGGGUGAGAAUCCCGUAUGUGGCCGGCCACCACGCCCGUGUGAAGCUCCUUCGACGAGUCGAGUUGUUUGGGAAUGCAGCUCAAAAUGGGUGGUAAAUUUCAUCUAAAGCUAAAUACCGGCCAGAGACCGAUAGCGCACAAGUAGAGUGAUCGAAAGAUGAAAAGCACUUUGGAAAGAGAGUCAAACAGUACGUGAAAUUGUUGAAAGGGAAGCGCUUGCAACCAGACUUGCCCGCGGGUGAUCAACCGGUAUUCUUACCGGUGCACUCACCCGCGGUCAGGCCAGCAUCGGUUCGGGCGGCUGGAUAAAGUCCACUGGAAUGUAGCUCCUCUCGGGGAGUGUUAUAGCCAGAGGUGCCAUGCAGCCCGCCCGGACCGAGGACCGCGCUUCGGCUAGGAUGCUGGCGUAAUGGUUGUAAGCGACCCGUCUUGAA
This 611-nucleotide ribosomal RNA is filed under the name Acarospora heufleriana. RNAcentral's name for it is "partial large subunit ribosomal RNA". It matches the Rfam family "Eukaryotic large subunit ribosomal RNA", at positions 32 to 658 of the family's 3401-position model. Lineage: Eukaryota; Fungi; Ascomycota; Lecanoromycetes; Acarosporales; Acarosporaceae. The record is from RNAcentral.